CCCUGAGGCGGAGAAACUUCCUGUGUGAAGUAAAGGAACUUUCCCUCUUCUCACAAAAAAAAGCAGAAAUGAGGAGGAUGCCACGAAGAGGAGCACCACUUUCAGUGAGAUCCUGGAACUCCUCGUGGCGCGGCCGAUGGGACCACAGACUGAUUCAAUGGGUUUCUAAUAGAAGCAACAUUGCUCUCAAGCAGCAUCCUCUUCAGUGCUCAGAAGAGAUCAACAAGAGCUUUAAGCCUUUGUUAAUAAAGCAAAAGACUGCAAUCAAUUAUAGAUGAAUGAACACUUAGCUUAACUGAUGAUUUCUGCGAUGUAAUAUAGAAAAUAAACAACUUUGAAUGUAAACAACAUCUAUGGGAAAAAAGACACGCUAAUCAACCCUCACUGUUACUAGACCGCAACUAUGCUACUGCUGUUGUGCAUUUGGUGAUACAACAUGUGAAAAUCCUCUACUCUCUUCAUUCAGAAGACGACACGCUCCAGUCUAAUUUGUCUGCAUGUGCUUCAGUCUGAGAUAAGCUGCAACCCAGAAGCCCAUUUGGAGGGCUCUUAUCUUCAUGACAGAUGCCCCCCCUGCGUGGCCAAGGCUCCAGCCGUCACACCGCCGGGUCAACGGUGGAUAACCAACACGCUGGAGCUGCGUUUGUAUAUAUUGUUAGAAAAAAACAGGUAGAAGACUUCUUUUAACCUCCCAACAGCAUCCUCAGUGGAGGUCAACAGUAUCUGCAAAAACAAUUAACCUGACGUUUCCUGGAGACAUUGAUGGCUGAUGAGCGCACGCGGACAUCCUGCUGGAUUCCCCCGACGGCGCCGCUUGUUUUUGUUGUUUUCUAGAGAACAAACUCCACUUAAACUAGUGAAUCUGCAAAAUAUAAGUCAAGACAGCCCGGAAACGAACAAUAAUGAUGCGGUUACAACAAUGAAACAGCAUGUCUUUCUAAAUUUUAAAAAUGUGAAUAAAUAAAUAACAUGGUAUUAAAAGA
Long non-coding RNA from Oryzias melastigma (Indian medaka), 983 nucleotides. RefSeq lists it as uncharacterized. The record is from RefSeq and is a predicted model, not a curated record. The transcript has 3 exons. Lineage: Eukaryota; Metazoa; Chordata; Actinopteri; Beloniformes; Adrianichthyidae.